CCCAAGGGCGGGCGGCCUACCAUGCAAGUCGAGCGGUAGCACAGAGAGCUUGCUCUCGGGUGACGAGCGGCGGACGGGUGAGUAAUGUCUGGGAAACUGCCUGAUGGAGGGGGAUAACUACUGGAAACGGUAGCUAAUACCGCAUAACGUCGCAAGACCAAAGUGGGGGACCUUCGGGCCUCAUGCCAUCAGAUGUGCCCAGAUGGGAUUAGCUAGUAGGUGGGGUAACGGCUCACCUAGGCGACGAUCCCUAGCUGGUCUGAGAGGAUGACCAGCCACACUGGAACUGAGACACGGUCCAGACUCCUACGGGAGGCAGCAGUGGGGAAUAUUGCACAAUGGGCGCAAGCCUGAUGCAGCCAUGCCGCGUGUGUGAAGAAGGCCUUCGGGUUGUAAAGCACUUUCAGCGGGGAGGAAGGCGGUGAGGUUAAUAACCUUGUCGAUUGACGUUACCCGCAGAAGAAGCACCGGCUAACUCCGUGCCAGCAGCCGCGGUAAUACGGAGGGUGCAAGCGUUAAUCGGAAUUACUGGGCGUAAAGCGCACGCAGGCGGUCUGUCAAGUCGGAUGUGAAAUCCCCGGGCUCAACCUGGGAACUGCAUUCGAAACUGGCAGGCUAGAGUCUUGUAGAGGGGGGUAGAAUUCCAGGUGUAGCGGUGAAAUGCGUAGAGAUCUGGAGGAAUACCGGUGGCGAAGGCGGCCCCCUGGACAAAGACUGACGCUCAGGUGCGAAAGCGUGGGGAGCAAACAGGAUUAGAUACCCUGGUAGUCCACGCCGUAAACGAUGUCGAUUUGGAGGUUGUGCCCUUGAGGCGUGGCUUCCGGAGCUAACGCGUUAAAUCGACCGCCUGGGGAGUACGGCCGCAAGGUUAAAACUCAAAUGAAUUGACGGGGGCCCGCACAAGCGGUGGAGCAUGUGGUUUAAUUCGAUGCAACGCGAAGAACCUUACCUGGUCUUGACAUCCACAGAACUUUCCAGAGAUGGAUUGGUGCCUUCGGGAACUGUGAGACAGGUGCUGCAUGGCUGUCGUCAGCUCGUGUUGUGAAAUGUUGGGUUAAGUCCCGCAACGAGCGCAACCCUUAUCCUUUGUUGCCAGCGGUUAGGCCGGGAACUCAAAGGAGACUGCCAGUGAUAAACUGGAGGAAGGUGGGGAUGACGUCAAGUCAUCAUGGCCCUUACGACCAGGGCUACACACGUGCUACAAUGGCAUAUACAAAGAGAAGCGACCUCGCGAGAGCAAGCGGACCUCAUAAAGUAUGUCGUAGUCCGGAUUGGAGUCUGCAACUCGACUCCAUGAAGUCGGAAUCGCUAGUAAUCGUAGAUCAGAAUGCUACGGUGAAUACGUUCCCGGGCCUUGUACACACCGCCCGUCACACCAUGGGAGUGGGUUGCAAAAGAAGUAGGUAGCUUAACCUUCGGGAGGGCGCUUACCACUUUGGAUAACCGG
Molecule: ribosomal RNA, 1447 nt
Filed under: bacterium
Lineage: Bacteria
Description: bacterial SSU rRNA
Rfam family: Bacterial small subunit ribosomal RNA
Source: RNAcentral